Molecule: ribosomal RNA, 439 nt
Filed under: uncultured bacterium
Lineage: Bacteria
Description: partial 16S ribosomal RNA
Rfam family: Bacterial small subunit ribosomal RNA
Source: RNAcentral
CUACGGGGUGCUGCAGUGGGGAAUAUUGGGCAAUGGGCGAAAGCCUGACCCAGCAACGCCGCGUGAAGGAAGAAGGCUUUCGGGUCGUAAACUUCUAUCCUAGGUGAAGAUAAUGACGGUAGCCUAGAAGGAAGCCCCGGCUAACUACGUGCCAGCAGCCGCGGUAAUACGUAGGGGGCAAGCGUUGUCCGGAAUGAUUGGGCGUAAAGGGCGCGUAGGCGGCCAUGUAAGUCCGAUGUGAAAGUCCUGCUUUUAAGGUGGGAAUUGCAUUGGAAACUGCGUGGCUUGAGUGCAGGAGAGGUAAGCGGAAUUCCCGGUGUAGCGGUGAAAUGCGUAGAGAUCGGGAGGAACACCAGUGGCGAAGGCGGCUUACUGGACUGUAACUGACGCUGAGGCGCGAAAGUGUGGGGAGCAAACAGGAUUAGAUACCCGGGUAGUC